This 511-nucleotide ribosomal RNA is filed under the name uncultured bacterium. RNAcentral's name for it is "bacterial SSU rRNA". It matches the Rfam family "Bacterial small subunit ribosomal RNA", at positions 59 to 551 of the family's 1533-position model. The record is from RNAcentral.
AAGUCGAGCGAACCAAUAAGAAGCUUGCUUUUUGUUGGUUAGCGGCGGACGGGUGAGUAACACGUGGGUAACCUGCCUGUAAGACCGGGAUAACUCCGGGAAACCGGUGCUAAUACCGGAUAGAUUAUCUUUCCACCUGGAGAGAUAAGGAAAGAUGGCUUUUGCCAUCACUUACAGAUGGGCCCGCGGCGCAUUAGCUAGUUGGUGAGGUAACGGCUCACCAAGGCGACGAUGCGUAGCCGACCUGAGAGGGUGAUCGGCCACACUGGGACUGAGACACGGCCCAGACUCCUACGGGAGGCAGCAGUAGGGAAUCUUCCGCAAUGGACGAAAGUCUGACGGAGCAACGCCGCGUGAGUGAGGAAGGUCUUCGGAUCGUAAAGCUCUGUUGUUAGGGAAGAACAAGUAUCGGAGGAAAUGCCGGUACCUUGACGGUACCUGACGAGAAAGCCACGGCUAACUACGUGCCAGCAGCCGCGGUAAUACGUAGGUGGCAAGCGUUGUCCGGAUU